Zophobas morio is the source of this 1587-nucleotide RNA transcript. It is a transcript of the gene named CD63 antigen-like, with no coding region annotated. NCBI's taxonomy places the organism in Eukaryota, Metazoa, Arthropoda, Insecta, Coleoptera, Tenebrionidae. The transcript has 6 exons. The record is from RefSeq and is a predicted model, not a curated record.
CGUUCUGAUCUCAUCCUGAGUUUCAGUCUCCGCGGCGCCGAGCGUCGACCCAAAACAUCCAACGAUUUAAAAAUAAAAUGAUUCGGGAUCGAGUUGGCUCGGUGUUUUUUCGAAAAUGAGUUGCGGAGAGUUGUUUCUGAAAGGUGCUAGCAGCACUUUUACUGGAUAUUUCUUGAUAGUCAGCAUCGCCUUCAUCCUGUAUGGCUUAACAACCACGUUGUACCUCCUGAAGACGAACAGCGUCGAAACUCUCGACCAAGAACUGGUUUCUGUGCCUUCUCUUUGCCUUGUUCUCUUCGGAGCCACUUUAUUUCUGAUCAUCAUCCUAGGGUGCUGUGCAGUUUGCCGGGAAAUCCCUUGUUGCCUCGAAACGUACUCCAUCUUCUUAGGUCUACUGGCAGCAGCACAAAUCGGUCUAGGAAUUUUCUGUUUGGUGCGUUUUAGUGUCUACAAUGAAGACUUUCAGGCCAGGGUGUUCAACGACGUCAGCAACAUGUUUGACAUGUAUGAUGUUGAACCCAAGCAGAUGGAUGACACCCAAGAAUGGAUGAAGUGUUGUGGUGUCAGUCAACCAGGUGACUGGUUGAAAAAUGGUACAUUUCCGUCGUCUUGUUGCGAAGGUAAACCCGAAAAUUGUACCUUAGAGUCUGGGAUGGUGUAUCCAGAUGGGUGUUACGAACAGCUGUACACUUAUAUUGUUGGGUCGAAUUACAUUAUUGGGUUGUCGCUCACUGUGACAGCUGUCACUGAGAUGAUUGGGGCUGUGAUGGGUAUUGGACUUUCGUGUGCCUUUUGGAGAAACAACAGGAUCAUGUGGAUUUAAACGAGUUAAAAAUGAAAGUCCGCUUAAAGUAUUAUGUAUAAUUUUAGAUGGUAGGUUAAAAUGGUUGUUAAUUAUUAUGUUACGUCACUGGGUACUACUACGUGAGCUGGGUUAUUAGUUGUAAUGACAAUUAAGUAUUUGAUUUACACUGGUCAACAAAAAUCCUAGAAAUAAUUACUUUUGUAUGUUAUAAUUGCCCUGUCGUCGGGGGCUGCAGAAUACCGCGACCGUCUGAUGCCGCGUGAGGUAAAAGUCCUCUAAGUGCAUCUGGAAUCCCUUGGUGACGUUCGGAUACCAUAGGACCUUUGAUAAUAUCGCGUCCUUCUUUUGGAAUAGUUAAGUCUGUUUUCAUAGUUGUGGAACAAAGAUACCAACGUUGACCAUGUCGAAAUUUGGAGAAAAACCAGGAAAGGAGAGACGUCCUGAUAAAAAGUGACCAAGAAGUAUCAAGGCUCUAGGAAAAGGAUCUAACCAACUUUUGUGGUAAGAUCGACAAUUUUCCAUGAGCAGCAAGACCCCAGAAGGUUCCCAUCAAGAAUCCACCUGUCGAUUUGGGUUUGAACAUUUUAUAAUAACGAAAGAGAAUACCUGCAGUAGCAGGAAAUAUCAACUCAAAACUGAUUUUCAGAGAAGAACGAAAUUAGCUGUCCUAAAUUACAUUUUCCCUAGUUUAUUGCUAAAGAACUAUUGCUAAGAAACUAAGAACUUAAUCUCUGUGAGGUCCCUGCUUUUUCCUUAUUAAAGAUUAAGGUUUUUUUGAAUAA